RNAcentral lists this ribosomal RNA (405 nucleotides) under uncultured Rhogostoma. RNAcentral describes it as "partial small subunit ribosomal RNA". It matches the Rfam family "Eukaryotic small subunit ribosomal RNA", at positions 30 to 432 of the family's 1831-position model. Lineage: Eukaryota; Cercozoa; Thecofilosea; Cryomonadida. The record is from RNAcentral.
GCUUGUCUCAAAGAUUAAGCCAUGCAUGUCUAAGUAUAAGCCUUUAUAUGGUGAGACUGCGAAUGGCUCAUUAAAUCAGAAACUGUUUAUUUGAUAGUGCCUACUACAUGGAUACCUGUAGUAAUUCUAGAGCUAAUACAUGCGCAAAGUCCUGACUCGCGAGGGGAGGGAUGUAUUUAUUAGAUACAAAACCAAUGCGGGUUCUGCUCGCCAUUGUGUUGAAUCAUAGUAACUUAUCGAACGCCAUAGCCUUGUGCUGGGCGUAGAUCAUUCAAAUUUCUGCCCUAUCAGCUUUCGACGGUAGUGUAGUGGACUACCGUGGCGUUAACGGGUAACGGGGAAUUAGGGUUCGAUUCCGGAGAGGGAGCCUGAGAAACGGCUACCACAUCCAAGGAAGGCAGCAGG